This 374-nucleotide ribosomal RNA is filed under the name uncultured organism. Its description in RNAcentral is "partial 16S ribosomal RNA". It matches the Rfam family "Bacterial small subunit ribosomal RNA", at positions 527 to 896 of the family's 1533-position model. The record is from RNAcentral.
GUAGGUGGCAAGCGUUGUCCGGAAUUAUUGGGGCGUAAAGCGCGCGCAGGCGGUUCUUUAAGUCUGAUGUGAAAGCCCACGGGCUCAACCGUGGAGGGUCAUUGGAAACUGGAGAACUUGAGUACAGAAGUGGAAAGCGGAAUUCCACGUGUAGCGGUGAAAUGCGUAGAGAUGUGGAGGAACACCAGUGGCGAAGGCGGCUUUCUGGUCUGUAACUGACGCUGAGGCGCGAAAGCGUGGGGAGCAAACAGGAUUAGAUACCCUGGUAGUCCACGCCGUAAACGAUGAGUGCUAAGUGUUAGGGGGUUUCCGCCCCUUAGUGCUGCAGCUAACGCAUUAAGCACUCCGCCUGGGGAGUACGGCCGCAAAGGCUG